UUUAUUGGAGAGUUUGAUCCUGGCUCAGGACGAACGCUGGCGGCGUGCCUAAUACAUGCAAGUCGAGCGAAUCUGAGGGAGCUUGCUCCCGAAGAUUAGCGGCGGACGGGUGAGUAACACGUGGGUAACCUGCCUGUAAGAUUGGGAUAACUCCGGGAAACCGGAGCUAAUACCGGAUAACAUUUCGAACCGCAUGGUUCGAAGUUGAAAGGUGGCUUUUGCUACCACUUACAGAUGGACCCGCGGCGCAUUAGCUAGUUGGUGAGGUAACGGCUCACCAAGGCGACGAUGCGUAGCCGACCUGAGAGGGUGAUCGGCCACACUGGGACUGAGACACGGCCCAGACUCCUACGGGAGGCAGCAGUAGGGAAUCUUCCGCAAUGGACGAAAGUCUGACGGAGCAACGCCGCGUGAGCGAAGAAGGCCUUCGGGUCGUAAAGCUCUGUUGUUAGGGAAGAACAAGUACCGUUC
RNAcentral lists this ribosomal RNA (471 nucleotides) under Bacillus sp. SA1-12. Its description in RNAcentral is "bacterial SSU rRNA". It matches the Rfam family "Bacterial small subunit ribosomal RNA", at positions 1 to 461 of the family's 1533-position model. Lineage: Bacteria; Bacillati; Bacillota; Bacilli; Caryophanales; Bacillaceae. The record is from RNAcentral.